AGAGUUUGAUCAUGGCUCAGGAUGAACGCUGGCGGCGUGCUUAACACAUGCAAGUCGAGCGAAGCGCCUUAACGGAAUUCUUCGGAAGGAAGAUAAGGGGACUGAGCGGCGGACGGGUGAGUAACGCGUGGGUAACCUGCCUUAUACAGGGGGAUAACAGCUGGAAACGGCUGCUAAUACCGCAUAAGCGCACGGCACCGCAUGGUGCAGUGUGAAAAACUGAGGUGGUAUAAGAUGGACCCGCGUCUGAUUAGGUAGUUGGUGGGGUAACGGCCUACCAAGCCGACGAUCAGUAGCCGACCUGAGAGGGCGAUCGGCCACAUUGGGACUGAGACACGGCCCAAACUCCUACGGGAGGCAGCAGUGGGGAAUAUUGCACAAUGGGGGAAACCCUGAUGCAGCGACGCCGCGUGAGCGAAGAAGUAUUUCGGUAUGUAAAGCUCUAUCAGCAGGGAAGAAAAUGACGGUACCUGACUAAGAAGCCCCGGCUAACUACGUGCCAGCAGCCGCGGUAAUACGUAGGGGGCAAGCGUUAUCCGGAUUUACUGGGUGUAAAGGGAGCGUAGACGGGACAGCAAGUCUGAUGUGAAAGGCGGGGGCUCAACCCCCGAACUGCAUUGGAAACUGUUGACCUGGAGUGCCGGAGAGGUAAGCGGAAUUCCUAGUGUAGCGGUGAAAUGCGUAGAUAUUAGGAGGAACACCAGUGGCGAAGGCGGCUUACUGGACGGUAACUGACGUUGAGGCUCGAAAGCGUGGGGAGCAAACAGGAUUAGAUACCCUGGUAGU
This 786-nucleotide ribosomal RNA is filed under the name uncultured bacterium. Its description in RNAcentral is "bacterial SSU rRNA". It matches the Rfam family "Bacterial small subunit ribosomal RNA", at positions 8 to 794 of the family's 1533-position model. The record is from RNAcentral.